AAUCUCAAUCCCUCUGGUUCUUCUGGACUGGUUGGAUUGGACUUGGGUGAUUUGCCAGCAAUGGCUCGCCUCAAAUGACUUAGUGGAACAUCCCACAUCAGUGUUAGACGUAAUAAGUUUCGUCUCUCCUUGUGGUGAUGACUGCUCAGAACCUGCCAUCGCGCACUUUUGA
Molecule: unclassified non-coding RNA, 172 nt
Filed under: Papiliotrema wisconsinensis
Lineage: Eukaryota; Fungi; Basidiomycota; Tremellomycetes; Tremellales; Rhynchogastremaceae
Description: partial internal transcribed spacer 2
Source: RNAcentral